UACGAAGGGGGCUAGCGUUGCUCGGAAUUACUGGGCGUAAAGGGCGCGUAGGCGGACAGUUAAGUCAGAGGUGAAAGCCCAGGGCUCAACCCUGGAAUUGCCUUUGAUACUGACUGUCUUGAGUACGGGAGAGGUGUGUGGAACUCCGAGUGUAGAGGUGAAAUUCGUAGAUAUUCGGAAGAACACCAGUGGCGAAGGCGACACACUGGCCCGUUACUGACGCUGAGGCGCGAAAGCGUGGGGAGCAAACAGG
RNAcentral lists this ribosomal RNA (253 nucleotides) under uncultured bacterium. RNAcentral describes it as "partial 16S ribosomal RNA". It matches the Rfam family "Bacterial small subunit ribosomal RNA", at positions 524 to 776 of the family's 1533-position model. The record is from RNAcentral.